GUGGGGAAUAUUGGACAAUGGGCGAAAGCCUGAUCCAGCCAUGCCGCGUGUGUGAAGAAGGUCUUCGGAUUGUAAAGCACUUUAAGUUGGGAGGAAGGGCAGUAAGUUAAUACCUUGCUGUUUUGACGUUACCGACAGAAUAAGCACCGGCUAACUUCGUGCCAGCAGCCGCGGUAAUACGAAGGGUGCAAGCGUUAAUCGGAAUUACUGGGCGUAAAGCGCGCGUAGGUGGUUCAGCAAGUUGGAGGUGAAAUCCCCGGGCUCAACCUGGGAACUGCCUCCAAAAGUACGGAGCUAGAGUACGGUAGAGGGUAGUGGAAUUUCCUGUGUAGCGGUGAAAUGCGUAGAUAUAGGAAGGAACACCAGUGGCGAAGGCGACUACCUGGACUGAUACUGACACUGAGGUGCGAAAGCGUGGGGAGCAAACAGGAUUAGAAACCCUGGUAGUCC
This 450-nucleotide ribosomal RNA is filed under the name uncultured bacterium. RNAcentral's name for it is "bacterial SSU rRNA". It matches the Rfam family "Bacterial small subunit ribosomal RNA", at positions 354 to 796 of the family's 1533-position model. The record is from RNAcentral.